GCCUAACACAUGCAAGUCGAGCGGCAGCACAAGUGAGUUUACUUAUGAGUGUGGCGAGCGGCGGACGGGUGAGUAAUGCCUAGGGAUCUGCCCAGUCGAGGGGGAUAACAGUUGGAAACGACUGCUAAUACCGCAUACGCCCUACGGGGGAAAGGAGGGGACCUUCGGGCCUUCCGCGAUUGGAUGAACCUAGGUGGGAUUAGCUAGUUGGUGAGGUAAUGGCUCACCAAGGCGACGAUCCCUAGCUGUUCUGAGAGGAUGAUCAGCCACACUGGGACUGAGACACGGCCCAGACUCCUACGGGAGGCAGCAGUGGGGAAUAUUGCACAAUGGGGGAAACCCUGAUGCAGCCAUGCCGCGUGUGUGAAGAAGGCCUUCGGGUUGUAAAGCACUUUCAGUAGGGAGGAAAGGGUGAGUCUUAAUACGGCUCAUCUGUGACGUUACCUACAGAAGAAGGACCGGCUAACUCCGUGCCAGCAGCCGCGGUAAUACGGAGGGUCCGAGCGUU
RNAcentral lists this ribosomal RNA (508 nucleotides) under uncultured bacterium. RNAcentral's name for it is "bacterial SSU rRNA". It matches the Rfam family "Bacterial small subunit ribosomal RNA", at positions 46 to 542 of the family's 1533-position model. The record is from RNAcentral.